RNAcentral lists this ribosomal RNA (429 nucleotides) under uncultured prokaryote. RNAcentral describes it as "bacterial SSU rRNA". It matches the Rfam family "Bacterial small subunit ribosomal RNA", at positions 355 to 776 of the family's 1533-position model. The record is from RNAcentral. RNAcentral also lists the same sequence under 1 other name.
UAGGGAAUCUUCCACAAUGGGUGCAAACCUGAUGGAGCAAUGCCGCGUGAAUGAAGAAGGUCUUCGGAUCGUAAAGUUCUGUUAUUAGAGAAGAACAAGGUGGGGAGUAACUGCCCUACCCUUGACGGUACCUAACCAGAAAGUCACGGCUAACUACGUGCCAGCAGCCGCGGUAAUACGUAGGUGACAAGCGUUGUCCGGAAUUAUUGGGCGUAAAGGGAGCGCAGGCGGUUGGAAUAGUCUGAUGUGAAAGCCCACGGCUUAACCGUGGAAGGUCAUUGGAAACUGUCCAACUUGAAUGCAGAAGAGGUAAGUGGAAUUCCAUGUGUAGCGGUGAAAUGCGUAGAUAUAUGGAGGAACACCAGUGGCGAAGGCGACUUACUGGUCUGUGAUUGACGCUGAGGCUCGAAAGCGUGGGUAGCAAACAGG